This 180-nucleotide ribosomal RNA is filed under the name uncultured Glomeromycotina. RNAcentral's name for it is "partial small subunit ribosomal RNA". The record is from RNAcentral. Lineage: Eukaryota; Fungi; Glomeromycota.
GGCCUGGUUGGGUGGUCUUGCCGCAAGGUAAGCACUGCUCCGAUCGGGUCUUUCCUUCUGGGGAACCAGCGUGCUCUUAAUUGGGUGCGUUGGGGAUCCAGGACUUUUACUUUGAAAAAAUUAGAGUGUUUAAAGCGGGCGCAUGCUCGAAUAGAUUAGCAUGGAAUAAUGGAAUAGGAC